GAGAGAGGGAGGGAGGGAGGAGCGCCGGGGAUGACGCGUCCUGGCCCCACCUUCUCAGCUUGCCCCGCCUCCUCCUCCUCCUCCUCCUCCUCUCCGUCUCCUCCAGGAAGGUUUAGCUUAGUCCUUCUCCAACGGGCGCCCUCUGCUGGUUGGGGGUCUUUUGGCUGCCGCAAACAGCGUCGCAAAGCGGGCUGGGGGGUGCCCCAGUUGUUCGCCCUCCCACAGCACAUCUGGGGGCGCCAGGUUGGAGAAGCUGCUUUCAGGACAGAGCGCUGGAGCCGCCCUCUUUGACCAGUGGUCCCAAAGCACAGGAGAAAUUUAAGCGGCUCGCGUUAACACCGAAUAAAAUGGGAUGAGCAGAAAGGAGAUGGUAAGAAAGUUUUAAAGUCAUCAAAUGACCUAGAAAGCGGCCAGCCCUCUUUUA
Long non-coding RNA from Crotalus tigris (Tiger rattlesnake), 424 nucleotides. RefSeq lists it as uncharacterized. Lineage: Eukaryota; Metazoa; Chordata; Lepidosauria; Squamata; Viperidae. The transcript has 2 exons. The record is from RefSeq and is a predicted model, not a curated record.